RNAcentral lists this ribosomal RNA (122 nucleotides) under Triticum aestivum (bread wheat). The record is from RNAcentral. Lineage: Eukaryota; Viridiplantae; Streptophyta; Magnoliopsida; Poales; Poaceae.
GGAUGCGAUCAUACCAGCACUAAAGCACCGGAUCCCAUCAGAACUCCGAAGUUAAGCGUGCUUGGGCGAGAGUAGUACUAGGAUGGGUGACCUCCUGGGAAGUCCUUGUGUUGUUGCAUUCC